RNAcentral lists this ribosomal RNA (497 nucleotides) under uncultured bacterium. RNAcentral describes it as "partial 16S ribosomal RNA". It matches the Rfam family "Bacterial small subunit ribosomal RNA", at positions 28 to 507 of the family's 1533-position model. The record is from RNAcentral.
GAUGAACGCUGGCGGCGUGCCUAAUACAUGCGAGUCGAGCGAACAGACGAGGAGCUUGCUCCCCUGACGUUAGCGGCGGACGGGUGAGUAACACGUGGAUAACCUACCUAUAAGACUGGGAUAACUUCGGGAAACCGGAGCUAAUACCGGAUAAUAUAUUGAACCGCAUGGUUCAAUAGUGAAAGACGGUUUUGCUGUCACUUAUAGAUGGAUCCGCGCCGCAUUAGCUAGUUGGUAAGGUAACGGCUUACCAAGGCAACGAUGCGUAGCCGACCUGAGAGGGUGAUCGGCCACACUGGAACUGAGACACGGUCCAGACUCCUACGGGAGGCAGCAGUAGGGAAUCUUCCGCAAUGGGCGAAAGCCUGACGGAGCAACGCCGCGUGAGUGAUGAAGGUCUUCGGAUCGUAAAACUCUGUUAUUAGGGAAGAACAAAUGUGUAAGUAACUAUGCACGUCUUGACGGUACCUAAUCAGAAAGCCACGGCUAACUACGUG